Macaca mulatta (Rhesus monkey) is the source of this 764-nucleotide non-coding RNA. NCBI's taxonomy places the organism in Eukaryota, Metazoa, Chordata, Mammalia, Primates, Cercopithecidae. The record is from RefSeq and is a predicted model, not a curated record.
CAGAGUAGAAAUUAUUAUUCCCAUCUUGCAGAUGAAGAAACUGAGACUGAGAGUUUUGGUGACUGGCACACAGUUACAUAAAUAUUAAGAGAUGGCACAGAAUUGCAAAAGUAGAUUUUCCUCAUCAAAAAAAAAUCCAUGUCCUUUCUAUGAUACUAGGCUAUUUUAAAUUAAACAUAAUGCUAUAUUUUAUCAUCAAUGCCAUCAUUCUCCUUUAUUCUCAAUUUAAAAUCAUCCUCACACUUAAUUCUGACUCUCGAGAAACAUAUGUCUUCCAGCCAAAACAUAUGUAAAUGUAUUUAAACCCCAAACCCUCUUUGUAAAAAAAUUUAUUUUAGAUUCAGAAGCACACAUGCAGGUUCCAUGGGUAUAUGGCACAAUGGUGGAGUUUGGGCUUUAAGUACUCAUCACUCAAAUAGUGACUAUUUUAUAAAAUCCUAUCCUCCACUCAAGACUUAACCCUAUUUCCAAUCCCAAUUCUUAGUGACACAAUUGCUUUCUCAAUUUUGUUUCCUAUGAUCCCAGACCAUGAGGAUGUUAGCAGAGAAGAGGGAGUCCUGAAAUGCCAGUUAACCCAGCAGAAGUUGAUGAGCUCACUUACAGCCAGGGACAUGGUUUCCCAGGUAUACAGUUCCACUGUAAAUGAGGUGGUGGGUUUCUUCACCUCUGCCGAUCCACUGAAUUUUAUAAGAAAAGCCAGUGGGCUCCCAGACAAAGUUAAAAAGAAGAGGAAGAAGAAGAGGAAGAGGAGAAGGAAGAAGGAG